RNAcentral lists this non-coding RNA (65 nucleotides) under human gut metagenome. Its description in RNAcentral is "skipping-rope RNA". It matches the Rfam family "skipping-rope RNA", at positions 8 to 73 of the family's 80-position model. From Rfam's summary of the family: Firmicutes, Fusobacteria, AlphaProteobacteria, Spirochaetes. Downstream gene The record is from RNAcentral.
GAGGACGGAACGGGCAGCCGUCGCUCCUCGUAAGAGGUUAAGAGAUGCGGGAGCGCCGCCCCGCC